GCAUCGGUGGUUUAGUGGUAAAAUUAGCCGUUGCCAUCCAGCUUCUUCAGCAGGACAGUUUCGGCUAGCCCCGGGUUCGAUUCCCGGCCGAUGCA
This 95-nucleotide transfer RNA is filed under the name Pyrenophora tritici-repentis. RNAcentral describes it as "tRNA-Gly". It matches the Rfam family "tRNA". Rfam says of the family: Transfer RNA (tRNA) molecules are approximately 80 nucleotides in length. Their secondary structure includes four short double-helical elements and three loops (D, anti-codon, and T loops). The record is from RNAcentral. Lineage: Eukaryota; Fungi; Ascomycota; Dothideomycetes; Pleosporales; Pleosporaceae. RNAcentral also lists the same sequence under 1 other name.